GUUUUCUUCUAUCAUGUUUAUCAUUUAUUUUCAAUUUAAUUUUAUAUCUAUAUUUUAAAAACUAUGUUUUUGUACAGAGUUUGCAAUGGGGAUGAAUAGUCCAUUUCUAAUUACUGAUUUGAUUCUGUUAUUACACACUUUUUAAAUGAAUUACUUCCCUUUUGGAAUCGUAGACUGGUUCCAUACUGGACAAAAAUUGGCUUUUGCUAUUAAAAAGCAUAGCAAAUUGAAAGUGGUGUAUCGGCGGUUCAACUAAUUUUUCACUUAAAACAAUUUCUGAUGACAAAAGUAUUUAGCUUAACAACAAAUUAAUGUAAUUGAAAGAUUUGAAAACCUUAAAGAUUACUCACAUUACGCACAGGUAAAUUUGCUCUUUUUGCUAGGUCUCCAUUGUACAUAAAAAUUAAUGUUCCUCAUAAGGGAGACAACUUAAAAGGGAUCUCUAAUAACAGGGUCAAUUGACGUAAUUAGCAAAAUAGCCUAUUGUGAUAAGUCUGUUCUGUGAACAUUCAGUCCACAUGUCAUUUACUUUUUAUGAGUCAAACGUAAAACUCACUUGACAGUCAAUAAUCAUAUGAAAAAAAUUGUAAUAUUCUCUCUAGAUUUUUAAUCUCACAUUUUAAGGUGUUCUUUCCAAAAUCUGUCAGUUCUUUCAGCCUAAAAUUUAUAUCUCUAAAUGAAAGAAGUGUUUCACUAGAGUGUAAUAUGAGUAUAUUUUUAAAGGUUUUAAAUUAGAGAAAUUGAAACUUAUGAUUAUGUGAUGAUAACAGAUAAGAUUUAUGGCAUGUAUUUGUUAAGUGAUUCAGACUACUGGUACAAGGUAGAAAGUAUACAUAGUUAAAGGGGUUUUCUACUCUAACUGUAAUCAAAGUCUUUUACAUUGUUUACCUUCAGUAGUAUUGUUAAAUGCUUCACAAGAGAACCUUGUAUGUUUUUUGGCAGAACUAAUAAGUUUGAGAAUCUUAUUUUGAAACAGUACUUUUUAUAAACAUUUUUUAAUCUUCACGCAUCCACUAAGAUAAACUGAAUAUCGGUGAAAUUCAUGAAUUGUCUGGUUUGAUUGGCUCCUUGGGGUUUACCACAACCAAUCAUUCAUUAGAAAAUUUAUGUAGAAAACUGCAAUUUUCUUUCCAUGGAUUAAGAUAACAAAUUAAAAUCCGCAAAUAGAAAAUAAACUUUUAGAAAGAUGCAUCUUCAACCAGCUAAAAGUAGUGCAUUUAUGGUAAUAAAAUAUUUCACAUUGUAAAGUUAUGAACAGGGAAAUAUUCAUCAAAUUUUAAUCAGUUAAAAUGCAUCAAUCAGGGGAAUUAAUUAAAAGGAGGAAACAGAUCACCUAAUCAGUUGUCAAAGCUUUUAUUAGAUAUUUUGUCAUAUAUUGAUAGCAUAUUGUCUGGCUCUUGAAAGACAAUUUUAGUCUAUAGAAUGUUGUGAAUGCAGUCAUUGAGACAUGUAUACAGAUAUCCAUUAAGUCUGGUUAAAUAGAGUCAAUUCACAUCGUAGAAUUGCAGGAGAGGUCCCUCCUGUAACUUGUGCUGAACAAAUAUUUGCCCUGGAAGAAUUGUUAAUAUGUUCUGCAAUUUUAAGUGUUUUACAAGCAGAAAAAUCUAUAAUUGCUGAGUAAUAAAACUGCAAAUGAUUUUUUUUUUCAUAUUUAAAUUAACCUCGAAUCAUUAAAGUACACUUACGUUGAAAUUACCUUAACAGAAAUAAAAGUUUUUUUGUGAGGAUAGUUACAAUGAAAUUUAUUUGUGAAUGUACAGGGUUAAACAGGAUGUAAAAGUUUGUAUUAAAAGUACAUAUUUUUCUAUUAAGCCUUAUGGUUAAAGACUCUAAGGUCAUAAAUGAGUUAAAAUGGCAAGAUUAUGUAACAUUCCUUCUUCAGUACAACUCGCAUGGAUUUGUCAUUUCAAACCAUCCAUGAUAGCAGUAAGCAAAGAUUGGCCAAUGGGACAAACUUCUGUUAAAUUCUCUACCCAAUCUUGUAUAGAUUGAGAUUAUCAAAAUUUGGAAAAACAAUUUGAGCUUUUGAAAUCAAUAUUUUAAAAUUCAACUGUCAAUUACUGAUAUUCAGAUUUUAUAAGUAGAUACUGGAUGUUAAAAACUUCAGAACGUAAAACUUUUCAGUACAACAAGGAACAUGUAAACCUCCUUAUGAAACAUCUAACACAGCUUCUGAUAGAUGGACAAAUGAAGGACUUUCUUCACUAUAUUUUCCCAACUCUUAAAAAUUAGCUUAAAUUUAGAUAUGUUACACUCCCUUUUGAUGAUGGAAACUGCUGUAAUUCUGUAAAACUUUCUGAAUUUUCAUCUGAAAGUGAUGGGUACAGAUUGUAAUCUCAAGGCUGAAAAUUUGUUUAAUAGAAUAUUACAAUAAGGGGUAUAAAAUAAGAAUAGUUUAGCAAUUAUCAACCUAUAUUGAUCCAACUACUUUAGUAUGAUUCUUGACUUUAGAACAUGUCACUGUAUCAAGUGUAUGUGUUUGUCAUGUUUACAAUGUUUAAUAUUAAUUGCCAAUCAUCAUACAGAAAUUUGCUGUAUAAAUGAUAAAAAGAUAAGAAGGGGCUUGAGGCACAUUAAUUUUUUCAUUGUUCAAUUUUGUAAUCGAGGACAUGCUGUUCCUUACACAAGCAUUCAUUGUGUAACAGCAUCUUGCCUUGGAGGAUGUCACUUUAUCUUUGCCAAGUGCUAAUGACACCAUCAUUGUUGUGCAAGGUAUCAAUAGUUAUACAAUAACGUCAUUUCUUAGAAUGGAAAAGUCAGCCUUAUGUUCAAUUAGCUCAGUGAAGAAAAAAAAUACAUGGAUUUUGGCGCUGAAUGUCAUUUAAUAUUAUUGAUUUGAUAGCUAUGAUGUUAAUUUCUACGGGAGAAAUAUAUUCAAUUCACUGCAUAUUGUAUAACAUAGAAAUUUGCCUCAGGGGAUAUUGGUAUUCAUAAUUUUCUCAUAUUUUAUAAUCAGUUUUGUAGAGGAAUAAUAAAUAGUUAAAUGUAAAGCGAGAUUUGUAUGAUUUUGACUCAUCAAUUUUUAAAUAAAAAUAAGGGAACUGUCUUAUUUAAAACCAUCAUGUUAAAUGUUACAUGUUUAAAAGUUUUGUGGUUUUUAUCUCACUCCUGAUAAAGGUGUUAAACAAAGUACACAAACCUUGAAUACUUUCAUCCUUUAAACUAUGUAUUUACAUUAUAAUGUCCAGAAAUAAGAACAUAAAAGUCCGCUUAGAAAAGGAUGGCCAGUUUGAACCAUAUCAUACGUAGAUAUGCUGUAAAUGGUAGAAAAAUCUAAUAUGAAGAUUUAUUCAAUUUAAUUUACAAUAAUAUCGAUGUUAACAGUUAUAUCCUUAACUUCGUUGAAUUCCUUGGAAACAGUUUAGGGUUGUUUUUUUUUAAAACAUAUUAUUGUGAUCGAAGCUUAAAUUUUUUUUUUUACAAAUUCAUUCCAUCAAAAUCCAAAAGCCUUGGGCAAGUCAGAUUUUCUGUCAAUAUGAACAGUAUGUACCCUAAACAGUGCAGGUAGUCAUCUCUAAAAUGUUUAAGGUUAAAUUUGCUAGGUCAUACUUAAUUCAAGUUCAAUUUUAUAUAUUUUUUUAUAUUCCCACUGACAUGAGCAGCUUCAGGUACUUAAAACAUUUUAAGCAUUAUUAAGGAUACUAUAAUGUUGAUAUUUCGCAUUAAGACUUAAAAAAAAAUAUACAGUAUUGUCAUAGGUUAAGUUGCAGAUACUUUUGAUAUAAAUUGUAUGAUGUAGUAUUUGUAUGAAAAGAUGAAUUUCGGAAUAACAUGUUGCAUUAAUUGUCUGUCAUUUUGUCCAUUUGCAAUAUCAAUUACAUUUUAAAAAGAGUAAGGACUGUUUUGGAAGAAUAAAACAUGAAAUUUCUUCAAUUUGAACACUUUCUGUUUAAAUAAUAUGAAUAUUGAGAAAAAUAACAUGUCAUUCUAAUUAUUAUUACAGCUUUUUAUCAGUUUUAUUAUUUUGUUUUGUUGUUUGUUUAUUUAAAUAUCAAUUCUUAUUUAGUGCUUGUUUAUUUUUUUGCUCAAUUAUACUAGGGGAGGUUACUCUAUCUUUAUUCAGAUGUGCACACAUUGCUGAAUUUGUUAUCUACCUUGAUAAAGGGAAGCAUGUGAUUUGAAAAUUGUCCGGUGAAGAAUAGGAGAUUUAACAACAUCAAUAUUUUAAAUGAUCAGCCUGUUAAGUUUGAAAUAUAUAUUAUAUAUAUAUAGGUAAAAUAAAACAUAGAAAAAUGACAGGAGGUCAAGGGCACUAUAACACAUUUUUAUUGAAAAAAUGAUGAAGUAUCUACUUUUAUCUUCUUUUACAUCUAUUCUCUAUCUUAUUGUUGUCUUCCCUCUGUAUGGCUUUUUAAUGAUUAUGUUUUUGUGCAUUGUCAUUUUUAUUGAUUCAUGAAUGGUCAGUGCUUGUAAGUGUGGAACAUUUUAAUUUGUAUAUAGAUUGCAGCUUGUAUAAUUUUAUAUUCAUUUUGCUGUUUUACACAUAAUAUUCAUAUUUUCUGUAUAUUUUUGUUUGUUGUAUUAUAGUGCAAUGUUUUUUUCUCUUUUUUAUAUUAAAUUUCUAAUUUUUAAACCUAAAUGGCAUGGGAUUUAGAAUUGUUUUGUAAAAUCUUGAUGUUCAUUGAACAUUUUUAUAGCCAUUAAAAAUGUACUUAAUAAUAGUUUAUUCAUUUCUGGUAAACAAAUUGAUAUUUUGUAAAAUUUCAAGGUUUUGAUAUUGAUUUUAUUAAUUUAUUUUAGAUAACAAAAACAAUCAUUUUCAUCCUGUAAUAUUUAACAUUCUAACGACACAUUUUAGAAAUCAAUUAAACAAAAUUUGAAUUUAUACAAUUGAAAAUUAGCUUAGUAUAUUCUAUUCUUGUUUUAAAAAAUAACAAUAGGAAAGCUGAUUGUAUUGUCUCUUUAUUUGCUCAAUUUAUUAUGUGCACAGAUUUAUCAGGAAAUUCUGAAUGUGAAACUGCUUUUUCUGUUCUCAUUAAGGAUUCACAUUUAUUCAUGACCUCCCCGAACAAUAGCAAUAGUCUUAUUUUCACAUUUUUCAUUUUGUUUGAUUGUCAAGUUGAUUUAUGUUAUAUAGGGCUUAAUAAUAAAUUAUUGAAGACAUUGCAGCAAUGUUAUUUUAAGUUUUUUCAUCUGUUUGAACUUUGAAGAAAUGUACAAGUUCAAAGGUCAAGAAAGGUUCUGUAACUACAUGUUCUUCAUUAAAAAGUGCAAAAGUAAGAGGUGUGGAAAGUGUUAAGAUGAUCAGAGAUUAUUUAAAAUCAAGUUUUACACAGACUUUCUUCCUGUUCAUGUACUUUCUUUUUAGUACCAUGAGAUAUAUGGGAAAAAUUGUUCAUGUAAUAGAUAUUUCUGAUUUCUAUAUCUAUUGUAUUUUUUUUUGUUGCAGUGUUUUUAUUGUUUAAAUUUUAUCUAGUGAUGAGGAUGGUACCAAAGUCUAUUUAUAGAAAAUGUUUUACCAGUUAUCUCUCCUGAUUUUAUAGAAAAAUGUUGAACUCAAAUUAUUUUAUAAAUAAUACACUGCAUUUUGAAAUACCAUUGAAAGGUUUUGUUUUUAUUAUUACAGAAUAUCACAGAUUGAUUUAUUUUUGCAACUCAAAAAAAGUCAAAUCUGCAGGAAAUUAUUUAAACCCAAACCAUAUUGAUUUUGUAAAGCAACCGUUUCUGAUAUUCUGGUAAGUUUAAUGUUUUCAAAAUGUGUAAAUGCACUGGUACUUUCAGUCUUCAAAGCUGAUCACAGAAGUACUAAAAUGUCUGACCUGUUUUACUUGGACAUAGAGAUAAGCUCUUAUCGAGACUAUCUGUCGAGUCUUACCACUAGAACAAGUGUCAAAAAGUCUUGUCAUUCCUACCUGUUGUAAGUGAAUUCCCUUUCAAUGGUAUUUUUAGAUACAGAGUAAGUUUGUUACUAAUUGUAUUAGAUUGUUCAAAAUAAAUUUAUCAUACAUUGAAUAAUUACUAAAUCUGUCAUAUCAAUUGUUGUCAUUUUUGUUACAGAUUUUGUAAAAAGAAAUAUAUAUAUAUAUAUAUAUAUGCAUUAAAUUUUUAUACGACCGCAAAAUUUGAAAAAUUUUUCGUCGUAUAUUGCUAUCACGUUGGCGUCGGCGUCGUCGUCGUCGUCGUCGUCGUCGUCGUCGUCGUCGUCGUCGUCCUGCGUCCGAAUACUUUUAGUUUUCGCACUCUAACUUUAGUAAAAGUGAAUGGAAAUCUAUGAAAUUUUAACACAAGGUUUAUGAC
This 6237-nucleotide long non-coding RNA is filed under the name Mytilus galloprovincialis (Mediterranean mussel). Lineage: Eukaryota; Metazoa; Mollusca; Bivalvia; Mytilida; Mytilidae. The record is from RNAcentral.